CUGUGAAUGUAUUUGCUUACAUGGGAAAGGGGACUUUGCAGAUGUAAUUAAAUUAAGGACUUUGAAAAGAGGGGAUUAUCUGUGCGGGCUCAAUAUUAUCAUAAGAGGGAAGCACAAGGAAAAGGGGAUUGAGUCUGUGGUGUCAUAGAAGCUGGUACUUAUCAGGAUGAAUCAGAAAGUCUGUUUACACAAGGUGUCAAGUCAGAAGAGAGGUGAUGACAGGAGACAUUAUGAUGGACACAGAAGCUGAAGUGGAGUGACUGCUGGCUUUGAAGAUGAAAGAGGCCACAAGACAAGGAAUGUUGGAAAAGACAAGGAAACAGAUUCUGUUCUAGAACCCACAGAAGACUCAGCUACCAUCAGAGGGCACCGCGAAGGGAGGAGCGGCAACAUGGCGGCUUCGGGAGCUGGUGACCCUCUGGAUGCUAAGCGUGGAGAGGCCCCGUUCGCUCAGCUUAUCGACCCGACUCGGGAGAAGCAGACACCCGAGCAACUGCAUUCCAUGCCGCGGACGCAGCUUGCCCAGUGGCAGGAGGUCCUACAGCAGCGGCAGACCCGGAACAUCGUGACCUGCCUAGGCAUCGGGGCCCUGGUGUUAGCUAUUUAUGGUUACACCUUCUACUCGAUUUCCCAGGAGCGUUUCCUAGAUGAGCUAGAAGACGAGGCCAAAGUUGCCCGAGCCUGAGCUCUGGCAAGGGCGUCAGGAUGCUAAUCUGGAUGGGCAUUGAUCAUGUCCAACCUGCUGGAGCCCCUUCACAUGGUGGAUGAUGACCCAUGACCCUGUAGAAAUUGACUCCUGCUCACAACAUUGUUGGCCUUCUUACUAACCUUGGGCCAUGAUCGAUCCCAAGAAACCAGGGACUUAAGCAUUUGGCCACUGUCAAAAGAACAGAACUUUGCCAACUGCACACUUGCUAUGUACAAUGA
This is a non-coding RNA of Macaca mulatta (Rhesus monkey), 927 nucleotides long. Lineage: Eukaryota; Metazoa; Chordata; Mammalia; Primates; Cercopithecidae. The record is from RefSeq and is a predicted model, not a curated record.